This 73-nucleotide transfer RNA is filed under the name Nanobdellota archaeon. RNAcentral's name for it is "tRNA-Thr". It matches the Rfam family "tRNA". From Rfam's summary of the family: Transfer RNA (tRNA) molecules are approximately 80 nucleotides in length. Their secondary structure includes four short double-helical elements and three loops (D, anti-codon, and T loops). Further hydrogen bonds mediate the characteristic L-shaped molecular structure. tRNAs have two regions of fundamental functional importance: the anti-codon, which is responsible for specific mRNA codon recognition, and the 3' end, to which the tRNAs corresponding amino acid is attached (by aminoacyl-tRNA synthetases). tRNAs cope with the degeneracy of the genetic code in two manners: having more than one tRNA (with a specific anti-codon) for a particular amino acid; and 'wobble' base-pairing, i.e. permitting non-standard base-pairing at the 3rd anti-codon position. The record is from RNAcentral. Lineage: Archaea; Nanobdellati; Nanobdellota.
GCCCCGGUAGCUCAGUCGGUAGAGCACGUGCUUGGUAAGCACGAGGUCGCGGGUUCGAUUCCCGUCUGGGGCU